GAAAUGCGAUAAGUAAUGUGAAUUGCAGAAUUCAGUGAAUCAUCGAGUCUUUGAACGCACAUUGCGCCCCCUGGUAUUCCGGGGGGCAUGCCUGUCCGAGCGUCAUUGCUGCCCUCAAGCCCGGCUUGUGUGUUGGGCCCUCGUCCCCCGGCUCCCGGGGGACGGGCCCGAAAGGCAGCGGCGGCACCGCGUCCGGUCCUCGAGCGUAUGGGGCUUCGUCUUCCGCUCCGUAGGCCCGGCCGGCGCCCGCCGACGCAUUUAUUUGCAACUUGUUUUUUUCCAGGUUGACCUCGGAUCAGGUAGGGAUACCCGCUGAACUUAAGC
RNAcentral lists this unclassified non-coding RNA (324 nucleotides) under plant metagenome. RNAcentral describes it as "partial contains 5.8S ribosomal RNA, internal transcribed spacer 2, and large subunit ribosomal RNA". The stretch from base 1 to 105 matches the Rfam family "5.8S ribosomal RNA", at positions 50 to 154 of the family's 154-position model. The record is from RNAcentral.